Long non-coding RNA from Epinephelus fuscoguttatus (brown-marbled grouper), 384 nucleotides. RefSeq lists it as uncharacterized. NCBI's taxonomy places the organism in Eukaryota, Metazoa, Chordata, Actinopteri, Perciformes, Serranidae. The transcript has 3 exons. The record is from RefSeq and is a predicted model, not a curated record.
UUUGCAGUUCAGUCAUGAUUGUGUGUACUGUGUUUUCCUGUGUAAUGAGUGAUAAUUUGUGACUUUACAGGUCAGGUUUGUUAACCAGUUGGACCUAUUUUUCAUGAUGUUGCCACAGUUUGAGUUCUCAGCAGCUAGAGUGUGUCCCUCUGUCUGACAAACACCAGCCAGCAUCCAAGAUGCAGCUCUCUGUGCAGACUGCAGGCUGUAGCACCAUGAGGGGAGGUGUUGUGUUUGCACAGCCGCUGUCAGAGCCGUUGGACGGGAGGUCACGUGACAGGAAAAGCGACUAACAUCUACAUUUUAGACUUCCUGAAGGAGGCAGAGACAGAGAGAAUAAAUGCAAGGCUGUGUACACACACAGCUGGAUCUUGUCACACUUUU